UGUAAGCACAUGCCUUAAAACGGUAAAGCCGCGAAUGGCUCGGUAUAACAGCCACUGUUUAUUAAACUCUAGUUAUCUACUUGGAUAACUGUGGCAAUUCUAGAGCUAAUACAUGCACGCAGGCUCGGACCUUUUGGGAAGAGCGCAUUUAUUAGACCAAAACCAAUCGGGCUUCGGCCUGUGUUUUGGUGACUCUGAAUAACUAAGUCGAUCGCACAGUCUUAGUACUGGCGACGUAUUUUUCAAAUGUCUGCCUUAUCAACUUUCGAUGGUAGGUUAUACGCCUACCAUGGUUAUAACGGGUAACGGAGAAUUAGGGUUCGACUCCGGAGAGGGAGCCUGAGAAAUGGCUACCACAUCCAAGGAAGGCAGCAGGCGCGCAAAUUACCCAAUCCCAGAACGGGGAGGUAGUGACGAAAAAUAACGAGGUAAUCCACUUUGUGGCUUGCCAUCGGAAUGGGCACAAU
This 467-nucleotide ribosomal RNA is filed under the name unidentified nematode Sourhope farm. RNAcentral's name for it is "SSU rRNA". It matches the Rfam family "Eukaryotic small subunit ribosomal RNA", at positions 58 to 524 of the family's 1831-position model. Lineage: Eukaryota; Metazoa; Nematoda. The record is from RNAcentral.